RNAcentral lists this ribosomal RNA (765 nucleotides) under uncultured archaeon. Its description in RNAcentral is "bacterial SSU rRNA". It matches the Rfam family "Archaeal small subunit ribosomal RNA", at positions 5 to 775 of the family's 1478-position model. The record is from RNAcentral.
CGGUUGAUCCUGCCGGAGGCUACCGCUAUUGGAGUUCGAUUAAGCCAUGCGAGUCGCGAGUCUUAGGGACUCGGCGUACCGCUCAGUAACACGUGGGUAACCUGCCCUAUGCUGGGAGAUAACCUCGGGAAACUGAGAAUAAUACCCCAUAGUUCACUACGCCUGGAACGGUGAGUGGAUGAAAGCUCCGGCGGCAUAGGAUGGGCCUGCGGCGUAUCAGGUUGUAGGGGGUGUAACGUACCCUCUAGCCCUCUACGCGUACGGGUGUUGGGAGACAUAGCCCGGAGAUGGAUUCUGAGACACGAAUCCAGACCCUACGGGGUGCAGCAGGCGCGAAAACUUGACAAUGCGAGAAAUCGUGAUCAGGGAACUCCAAGUGGCUGGGGUAAGACCCAGUCUUUUCUUGACUCUUCAAAGGUCUUGGAAUAAGGGGUGGGUAAGGACGGUGCCAGCCGCCGCGGUAAUACCGGCGCCUCAAGUGGUAGUCGCUUUUAUUGGGCCUAAAACGUCCGUAGCCGGUCUGAUACAUUCGUGGGUAAAUCAACUAGCUCAACUAGUUGAAUUCUGCGAGGACGGUCAGACUUGGGACCGGGAGAGGUGUGGGGUACGCUCAGGGUAGGGGUAAAAUCCUGUCAUCCUAAGCGGACCACCUGUUGCGAAGGCGCCACACUAGAACGGAUCCGACGGUCAGGGACGAAGCCUAGGGGCACGAACCGGAUUAGAUACCCGGGUAGUCCUANGUGUAAACGCUGUGGACUUGAUGUU